Molecule: ribosomal RNA, 508 nt
Filed under: uncultured bacterium
Lineage: Bacteria
Description: partial 16S ribosomal RNA
Rfam family: Bacterial small subunit ribosomal RNA
Source: RNAcentral
AUUGAACGCUGGCGGCAGGCCUAACACAUGCAAGUCGAGCGGCAGCGGGAAAGUAGCUUGCUACUUUUGCCGGCGAGCGGCGGACGGGUGAGUAAUGCCUGGGAAAUUGCCCAGUCGAGGGGGAUAACAGUUGGAAACGACUGCUAAUACCGCAUACGCCCUACGGGGGAAAGCAGGGGACCUUCGGGCCUUGCGCGAUUGGAUAUGCCCAGGUGGGAUUAGCUAGUUGGUGAGGUAAUGGCUCACCAAGGCGACGGUCCCUAGCUGGUCUGAGAGGAUGAUAGGCCACACGGGAAAUGAGACACGGUCCAGACUCCUACGGGAGGCAGCAGUGGGGAAUAUUGCACAAUGGGGGAAACCCUGAUGCAGCCAUGCCGCGUGUGUGAAGAAGGCCUUCGGGUUGUAAAGCACUUUCAGCGAGGAGGAAAGGUUGAUGCCUAAUACGUAUCAACUGUGACGUUACUCGCAGAAGAAGCACCGGCUAACUCCGUGCCAGCAGCCGCCGUAA